Ochotona princeps (American pika) is the source of this 83-nucleotide small nuclear RNA. Its record names the gene U4. It matches the Rfam family "U4 spliceosomal RNA". From Rfam's summary of the family: U4 small nuclear RNA (U4 snRNA) is a component of the major U2-dependent spliceosome. The structure of U4 snRNA from yeast and human has been reported. U4 snRNA presents a k-turn RNA motif in the 5p-SL related to recognition of Snu13 protein. The record is from Ensembl. NCBI's taxonomy places the organism in Eukaryota, Metazoa, Chordata, Mammalia, Lagomorpha, Ochotonidae.
AGCCUUGCACAGUAGCAGUAUUGCAGUCAAUGAGGUUCAUCUGAGGCGCAACUAUUGUUAACUAAAAAGAUGCCCAUGUCCCC